RNAcentral lists this long non-coding RNA (280 nucleotides) under Homo sapiens (human). Its description in RNAcentral is "non-protein coding lnc-RNF38-4:5". The record is from RNAcentral. Lineage: Eukaryota; Metazoa; Chordata; Mammalia; Primates; Hominidae.
GACACCAACAAGCGCAAGAGAGACGAAGUAUUCAGGAGUCUCCGGUGCCGAACGGCCACUCGCUUCCGGGCAGAGACUUCCUCCGGAAGCAGAUGCGGGGAGACUUGUUCACACAGCAGCAGCUGGAGGUGCUGGACCGCGUGUUUGAGAGGCAGCACUACUCAGACAUCUUCACCACCACAGAGCCCAUCAAGCCCGAGCAGCUCCCCCUACUAUUAUAGCGCUGCCGCCCGAGGAGCCGCCCCACCUGCAGCCGCCACUGCCUAUGACCGUCACUGAC